RNAcentral lists this long non-coding RNA (615 nucleotides) under Salvia miltiorrhiza (redroot sage). RNAcentral describes it as "long non-coding RNA (SMIL_LNC012637)". Lineage: Eukaryota; Viridiplantae; Streptophyta; Magnoliopsida; Lamiales; Lamiaceae. The record is from RNAcentral.
AUUUCCUAAGAAAAAUGUUGAUUGCCAUCAUGCUUAGUUAGGGCAGAGAAUCAUUUCCCCAUUAAAGAAGUACGGACAGGAUCAAGCUCAACAAAGAAACCAUAAACACAUAAAUUCCUGCAACCUUAAAUGCUGAUGACGUAUAGCAGCAUGCAAAUAUAGAGAAACAAAAUCAGACCUUGUAAGCCCAACAAUUGUGAGUGGCACGGGGCUCACGGACCUGCUCGGCAGAAUCCCAUCAAAAUAAAUAAGUUAUAAUUAAAAAAAAUGCGUCUCGAAGUUAAAACAAAAAAACAAAAAAUGACGAAAUGGUUGGGGAAAUUGACCUCAGCAAUGAAGAGGUGACAAGUGAGCGGCAGCGGCAUGUGCUGCCGCUCAUAAAUUAAGCAACUUCUUUUCAUAAAGUAGUGUUCAAUAUUCUCAAAAAAAAAAAAAGCAGUCUUCAAUUCAGAAUAACCAAGAACAAAACGAUGAACUGAAACAAGAAAAAAAAACUAGCGAAAAUUCAAACCAUAAAUCCCUAAAAUUCGAGUCCAAAAUGCCCUAAAAUUUGCUACCUAAUGCACUCUUCAAUUUCAUUUAGUUGUUACCUGAAGAAUGAGGGCGACUGUUGUC